AUCUACAGCCAUACCAUGCUGAACCUGCCUGAUCUUGUCUGAUCUCGGAAGCUAAGCUGGGUUCGGCUUGGUUAGUACUUCGAUGGGAGACUGCCUGGGAAUACCAGGAGCUGCAGGCU
This 119-nucleotide ribosomal RNA is filed under the name Procavia capensis (Cape rock hyrax). The record is from RNAcentral. Lineage: Eukaryota; Metazoa; Chordata; Mammalia; Hyracoidea; Procaviidae.